Long non-coding RNA from Cyprinus carpio (common carp), 445 nucleotides. The record is from Ensembl. NCBI's taxonomy places the organism in Eukaryota, Metazoa, Chordata, Actinopteri, Cypriniformes, Cyprinidae.
AUGUGUACAAAAUAAAGCAUGCUAGUUUGCAAGGAUGUUUUGUUUUUUUAUGUUUCUAGAGCUGUUCCCCUGCAGUGAUGAAGAAUCAUCCGCAGAGAUCAGACGUAUGUGUUGUAAUGAGUCAGAGGAAGAAGAGAAAGAGAAGUUCAUCCCUACAUCCAAAAGUGAGACAGAGAAAUAUAAAGUGAGACGAACACUUAGCUUUCUCAGAAGCCGGAUGGUGAACACCAAAAUAAAAAACAAGGUAAAUGCAGAGGUUUCCUCAGCUUUGCAUCAGCUCUGCUCACCACAGCCGCGUGUUGAAGCAGCUUGUAAUGUCUGUGAGGGUGCUGACGGUGAUGAACCACAGCCGUGCACAUGUAAGUGUGUGUUUCUUGUACAGACUUAUAUUUUUACAUACAUUAAAAUGUGAAAUAAAUGUAAAUAUACUGGCUUUAUGAUGUCA